This 136-nucleotide ribosomal RNA is filed under the name Anopheles minimus. Lineage: Eukaryota; Metazoa; Arthropoda; Insecta; Diptera; Culicidae. The record is from RNAcentral.
GUCAACAACCAUACCAUGUUGACUGCACCGGUUCGCGUCCGAUCACCAAAGUUAAGCAACAUCGGGCAUGGCUAAUAUUUAUAACAAUUACUAGACAACAAUAAACAAAAUUAAAACAUUAUUUUGCUUGUUGUCU